This 484-nucleotide ribosomal RNA is filed under the name uncultured bacterium. RNAcentral's name for it is "partial 16S ribosomal RNA". It matches the Rfam family "Bacterial small subunit ribosomal RNA", at positions 30 to 507 of the family's 1533-position model. The record is from RNAcentral.
AUUGAACGCUGGCGGCAGGCCUAACACAUGCAAGUCGAGCGGAUGAAGGGAGUUUGCUCCUGGAUUCAGCGGCGGACGGGUGAGUAAUGCCUAGGAAUCUGCCUGGUAGUGGGGGAUAACGUCCGGAAACGGGCGCUAAUACCGCAUACGUCCUGAGGGAGAAAGUGGGGGAUCUUCGGACCUCACGCUAUCAGAUGAGCCUAGGUCGGAUUAGCUAGUUGGUGGGGUAAAGGCCUACCAAGGCGACGAUCCGUAACUGGUCUGAUAGGAUGAUCAGUCACACUGGAACUGAGACACGGUCCAGAAUCCUACGGGAGGCAGCAGUGGGGAAUAUUGGACAAUGGGCGAAAGCCUGAUCCAGCCAUGCCGCGUGUGUGAAGAAGGUCUUCGGAUUGUAAAGCACUUUAAGUUGGGAGGAAGGGCAGUAAGUUAAUACCUUGCUGUUUUGACGUUACCAACAGAAUAAGCACCGGCUAACUUCGUG